UGGGGAAUUUUGGACAAUGGGCGAAAGCCUGAUCCAGCAAUGCCGCGUGUGUGAAGAAGGCCUUCGGGUUGUAAAGCACUUUUGUCCGGAAAGAAAUCCUUGGCUCUAAUACAGUCGGGGGGAUGACGGUACCGGAAGAAUAAGCACCGGCUAACUACGUGCCAGCAGCCGCGGUAAUACGUAGGGUGCAAGCGUUAAUCGGAAUUACUGGGCGUAAAGCGUGCGCAGGCGGUUUGCUAAGACCGAUGUGAAAUCCCCGGGCUCAACCUGGGAACUGCAUUGGUGACUGGCAGGCUAGAGUAUGGCAGAGGGGGGUAGAAUUCCACGUGUAGCAGUGAAAUGCGUAGAGAUGUGGAGGAAUACCGAUGGCGAAGGCAGCCCCCUGGGGCCAAUACUGACGCUCAUGCACGAAAGCGUGGGGAGCAAACAGGAUUAGAUACCCUGGUAGUCCACGCCCUAAACGAUGUCAACUAGUUGUUGGGGAUUCAUUCCCUUAGUAACGUAGCUAACGCGUGAAGUUGACCGCCUGGGGAGUACGGUCGCAA
This 545-nucleotide ribosomal RNA is filed under the name uncultured bacterium. RNAcentral's name for it is "partial 16S ribosomal RNA". It matches the Rfam family "Bacterial small subunit ribosomal RNA", at positions 355 to 891 of the family's 1533-position model. The record is from RNAcentral.